GACGAACGCUGGCGGCGUGCUUAACACAUGCAAGUCGAACGGAAAGGCCCUGCUUUUGUUGCUUUCUCGAGUGGCGAACGGGUGAGUAACACGUGAGUAACCUGCCCUUGACUUUGGGAUAACUUCAGGAAACUGGGGCUAAUACCCCAUAGGAUCUCCUGCUGCAUGGUGGGGGUUGGAAAGUUUCGGCGGUUGGGGAUGGACUCGCGGCUUAUGAGCUUGUUGGGGGGGUAGUUGCUUACCAAGGCUUUGACGGGUAGCCUGCCUGAGAGGGUGACCGGCGACCUUAGGACUACGAUACGGACCAGAAUCGAACGGGAGGCAGCAGUGGGGAGUCUUGCACAGUGGGCGGAAGCCUGAGGCAGAAACGCUGCGUGCGGGAUGACGGCUUUCGGGUGGUAAACAGCUUUGGCCGGUGACGUAGCGUGAGUGACGGUAAUGGGUAAAGAAGCACCGGCUAACUACGUG
RNAcentral lists this ribosomal RNA (468 nucleotides) under uncultured bacterium. RNAcentral's name for it is "partial 16S ribosomal RNA". It matches the Rfam family "Bacterial small subunit ribosomal RNA", at positions 28 to 507 of the family's 1533-position model. The record is from RNAcentral.